AUUGAACGCUGGCGGCAUGCCUUACACAUGCAAGUCGAGCGGUAACAGGUCUUCGGAUGCUGACGAGUGGCGAACGGGUGAGUAUUACAUCGGAACGUGCCUAGUAGUGGGGGAUAACUACUCGAAAGAGUGGCUAAUACCGCAUGAGAUCUACGGAUGAAAGCAGGGGAUCGCAAGACCUUGUGCUACUAGAGCGGCCGAUGGCAGAUUAGGUAGUUGGUGGGAUAAAAGCUUACCAAGCCGACGAUCUGUAGCUGGUCUGAGAGGACGAUCAGCCACACUGGGACUGAGACACGGCCCAGACUCCUACGGGCGGCAGCAGUGGGGAAUUUUGGACAAUGGGCGCAAGCCUGAUCCAGCAAUGCCGCGUGCAGGAUGAAGGCCUUCGGGUUGUAAACUGCUUUUGUACGGAACGAAAAGCCCCGGGUUAAUACCCUGGGGUCAUGACGGUACCGUAAGAAUAAGCACCGGCUAACUACGUGCCAGCAGCCGCAGUAA
Molecule: ribosomal RNA, 498 nt
Filed under: uncultured bacterium
Lineage: Bacteria
Description: partial 16S ribosomal RNA
Rfam family: Bacterial small subunit ribosomal RNA
Source: RNAcentral